ACUUUCAACAAUGGAUCUCUUGGUUCCCGCAUCGAUGAAGAACGCAGCGAAAUGCGAUAACUAAUGUGAAUUGCAGAAUUCCGUGAAUCAUCGAGUCUUUGAACGCACAUUGCGCCCCCUGGCAUUCCGGGGGGCAUGCCUGUCCGAGCGUCAUU
This 155-nucleotide ribosomal RNA is filed under the name Nannizziopsis sp. Its description in RNAcentral is "5.8S ribosomal RNA". It matches the Rfam family "5.8S ribosomal RNA". Rfam says of the family: 5.8S ribosomal RNA (5.8S rRNA) is a component of the large subunit of the eukaryotic ribosome. Lineage: Eukaryota; Fungi; Ascomycota; Eurotiomycetes; Onygenales; Nannizziopsiaceae. The record is from RNAcentral.